Molecule: ribosomal RNA, 427 nt
Filed under: uncultured archaeon
Lineage: Archaea
Description: bacterial SSU rRNA
Rfam family: Archaeal small subunit ribosomal RNA
Source: RNAcentral
CACCAGCCCCUCGAGUGGUGGGGAUGAUUAUUGGGCUUAAAGCGUCCGUAGCUGGCUUAGCAAGUCUCCUGUUAAAUUCAGCGACCUAAUCGUUGAGCCGCGGGAGAUACUAUUAGGCUAGGAGGCGGGAGAGGUCGACGGUACUUUCGGGGUAGGGGUGAAAUCCUAUAAUCCCGGGAGGACCACCAGUGGCGAAGGCUGUCGACUAGAGCGCGCUCGACGGUGAGGGAUGAAAGCUGGGGGAGCGAACCGGAUUAGAUACCCGGGUAGUCCCAGCUGUAAACUAUGCGGGCUAGGUGUUGGGGUGGCUACGGGCCACUUCAGUGCCGCAGGAAAGCCAUUAAGCCCGCCGCCUGGGGAGUACGGCCGCAAGGCUGAAACUUAAAGGAAUUGGCGGGGAGCACCACAAGGCGUGAAGCUUGCGUUC